RNAcentral lists this ribosomal RNA (253 nucleotides) under uncultured bacterium. RNAcentral describes it as "partial 16S ribosomal RNA". It matches the Rfam family "Bacterial small subunit ribosomal RNA", at positions 524 to 776 of the family's 1533-position model. The record is from RNAcentral.
UACGUAGGGUGCAAGCGUUAAUCGGAAUUACUGGGCGUAAAGCGUGCGCAGGCGGUUUUGUAAGUCUGUCGUGAAAGCCCCGGGCUCAACCUGGGAAUUGCAUUGGAGACUGCAAGGCUAGAAUCUGGCAGAGGGGGGUAGAAUUCCACGUGUAGCAGUGAAAUGCGUAGAGAUGUGGAGGAACACCGAUGGCGAAGGCAGCCUGCUGGGGCUGUCCUGACGGUCAGGGACGAAAGCUGGGGGAGCAAACCGG